RNAcentral lists this long non-coding RNA (1735 nucleotides) under Mus musculus (house mouse). Its description in RNAcentral is "long non-coding RNA chr5:104471612-104473347". Lineage: Eukaryota; Metazoa; Chordata; Mammalia; Rodentia; Muridae. The record is from RNAcentral.
UUCCGAAACCUAACUGAACACUUGCAUUUUCUUGUUUUAGAAAGUCUGUGGGGUUUUUUUUUCUUUCUUUCUUAUCUUUCACUAUAACCAUGAGACUUUUUUUUUCUAUCAAUAGGUACAAUUUUUUUGUUUGUUUUUGGUUUGUUUUUGUUUUUUUUUUCGAGUCAGGGUUUCUCUGUAUAGCCCUGGCUGUCCUGGAGCUCACUCUGUAGACCAGGCUGGCCUCAAACUCAGAAAUUCACCAGCCUCUGCUUCCCGAGUGCUGGGAUUAAAGACGUGAGUCACCACGCCCGGCUAAUAGGUACAAUUUUUACAUUGAGUUAGGUUCUAUUUUUUUGAGGAAACCCUGACAGGACCUUGGCUGCAGACAUGGCGGUCCCUGAACAAGUCAGAGGGAGCACACCAGUGAGCAGCGUCCUCUAUAGUCUCGGCUUCACUUCAUGUCUUCAAGCUCCUGCCCUAGGUUCCCUCUGUGAUGGAGUGAAAACUAAAACAUGAAAUACGUCCUUUCCCCAGGUUGCUUUGUCAUCAUGGAAACAUGGCAAUAGAAAGCGACUGAAAGGAGUGUAACUCUUAUGUUUCCACUCGAGUUCACACUGCGCAAAUAUCUUCCUUCACACACAUCUCUCGACAUUGGCUCCAGAGAAAGCUUGCAGCAUUGUUGAGCUCAUUUUCAAAGGUCAAGCUCAGGAGGGUCACUAGCUGUUCAAGAUCCUGGGGCACCUUCACCCUCUGUUGUGAGCCCAGAGGUAGCUGGUCUGAAUGGAGCUGGCGGAGCUGCUCGCCCAGGCUGUCUGAGGUUGAGCUGCCGCUGACAUAUCCUCACACCGUUGCUGCUGUGGGCAUAUGUAGAAAUGUCACUCCCAAAUAACUGGCUCAGUCUUAUCCUGACACAGUUCACAAACAGUUCAUGGUGGCCCAUCAUUGUCAGCACUAGAAGUAUCAUUUUCUGGUGUCCAGUAGGGGGCGCAACACAGUAGAAUUUCACUUCACGUUAAGUGAAGCCGAGAAAGCUACUACUGAUCUUGAGAAUUUUAACAAAAGCCAGGUCUGAAGAACAAUAAGAAGACAAGAAGGGACCCUGGUGUCUAUACCGUGCUUAAAAGUCUCUACUUUUAACCUAUCAACAAAUAAUUUCCAAGAGCAACCAUCUUAUAGGUAAAACACAAGAAAAUGUUCCAAAUUAACCAGCAACCCCCAAGUACGAUUCUAGUUUCACAGUAAUUGAAAAUAAUCAACCGAGUCAUUAUUCGACUCUAAGGAUUCUUCCAUCCUCACUCUGUGUCACCUCUGUCCCCUGUAUUGACAGGAUUCCCAGGCAUCGAUGCUCAGGGCAUUACAGCUGCAUCCUUCCCUCUGUGGGGGUGGAGGGAGGGGGAGAGGUGUCCGGGCAGAACACUCGCUGAGGACCUGCAAGUUCCUCGUUUGGAGGGAAAGGUCACUUCUUUACACUCAUGCCCUGGAAUUAUUUAGUGUACUCUCUCCGCAUGGUUGCACAAAUUAUGAAUUUAUGUAAAUGUCUUGCUUAUGUGAUUGCUUAAGAUGAACGCUCAAAUACAUGUUGGGUCACCACUGCCCAUGUUCCUUCUUUAACAAUCUUAGUUUGAUGUUGCUUGAAAACAGAAGAGUAAGAGAGACAAACUGACCAAUGGUUUGAGCAGAGCUAGUUUAAGACACGGUGUAAUUACGGAAUCAAGAAAUCAUCAUCUGUGUUCAUCGCUGCAGACAAAAGAUG